Molecule: ribosomal RNA, 2924 nt
Filed under: Escherichia coli
Lineage: Bacteria; Pseudomonadati; Pseudomonadota; Gammaproteobacteria; Enterobacterales; Enterobacteriaceae
Description: bacterial LSU rRNA
Rfam family: Bacterial large subunit ribosomal RNA
Source: RNAcentral
GGGUUGUGAGGUUAAGCGACUAAGCGUACACGGUGGAUGCCCUGGCAGUCAGAGGCGAUGAAGGACGUGCUAAUCUGCGAUAAGCGUCGGUGAGGUGAUAUGAACCGUUAUAACCGGCGAUUUCCGAAUGGGGAAACCCAGUGUGUUUCGACACACUAUCAUUAACUGAAUCCAUAGGUUAAUGAGGCGAACCGGGGGAACUGAAACAUCUAAGUACCCCGAGGAAAAGAAAUCAACCGAGAUUCCCCCAGUAGCGGCGAGCGAACGGGGAGGAGCCCAGAGCCUGAAUCAGUGUGUGUGUUAGUGGAAGCGUCUGGAAAGGCGCGCGAUACAGGGUGACAGCCCCGUACACAAAAAUGCACAUAUUGUGAGCUCGAUGAGUAGGGCGGGACACGUGGUAUCCUGUCUGAAUAUGGGGGGACCAUCCUCCAAGGCUAAAUACUCCUGACUGACCGAUAGUGAACCAGUACCGUGAGGGAAAGGCGAAAAGAACCCCGGCGAGGGGAGUGAAAAAGAACCUGAAACCGUGUACGUACAAGCAGUGGGAGCCUCUUAAUGGGGUGACUGCGUACCUUUUGUAUAAUGGGUCAGCGACUUAUAUUCUGUAGCAAGGUUAACCGAAUAGGGGAGCCGAAGGGAAACCGAGUCUUAACUGGGCGUUAAGUUGCAGGGUAUAGACCCGAAACCCGGUGAUCUAGCCAUGGGCAGGUUGAAGGUUGGGUAACACUAACUGGAGGACCGAACCGACUAAUGUUGAAAAAUUAGCGGAUGACUUGUGGCUGGGGGUGAAAGGCCAAUCAAACCGGGAGAUAGCUGGUUCUCCCCGAAAGCUAUUUAGGUAGCGCCUCGUGAAUUCAUCUCCGGGGGUAGAGCACUGUUUCGGCAAGGGGGUCAUCCCGACUUACCAACCCGAUGCAAACUGCGAAUACCGGAGAAUGUUAUCACGGGAGACACACGGCGGGUGCUAACGUCCGUCGUGAAGAGGGAAACAACCCAGACCGCCAGCUAAGGUCCCAAAGUCAUGGUUAAGUGGGAAACGAUGUGGGAAGGCCCAGACAGCCAGGAUGUUGGCUUAGAAGCAGCCAUCAUUUAAAGAAAGCGUAAUAGCUCACUGGUCGAGUCGGCCUGCGCGGAAGAUGUAACGGGGCUAAACCAUGCACCGAAGCUGCGGCAGCGACACUAUGUGUUGUUGGGUAGGGGAGCGUUCUGUAAGCCUGUGAAGGUGUACUGUGAGGUAUGCUGGAGGUAUCAGAAGUGCGAAUGCUGACAUAAGUAACGAUAAAGCGGGUGAAAAGCCCGCUCGCCGGAAGACCAAGGGUUCCUGUCCAACGUUAAUCGGGGCAGGGUGAGUCGACCCUAAGGCGAGGCCGAAAGGCGUAGUCGAUGGGAAACAGGUUAAUAUUCCUGUACUUGGUGUUACUGCGAAGGGGGGACGGAGAAGGCUAUGUUGGCCGGGCGACGGUUGUCCCGGUUUAAGCGUGUAGGCUGGUUUUCCAGGCAAAUCCGGAAAAUCAAGGCUGAGGCGUGAUGACGAGGCACUACGGUGCUGAAGCGACAAAUGCCCUGCUUCCAGGAAAAGCCUCUAAGCAUCAGGUAACAUCAAAUCGUACCCCAAACCGACACAGGUGGUCAGGUAGAGAAUACCAAGGCGCUUGAGAGAACUCGGGUGAAGGAACUAGGCAAAAUGGUGCCGUAACUUCGGGAGAAGGCACGCUGAUAUGUAGGUGAAGCGACUUGCUCGUGGAGCUGAAAUCAGUCGAAGAUACCAGCUGGCUGCAACUGUUUAUUAAAAACACAGCACUGUGCAAACACGAAAGUGGACGUAUACGGUGUGACGCCUGCCCGGUGCCGGAAGGUUAAUUGAUGGGGUUAGCGGUAACGCGAAGCUCUUGAUCGAAGCCCCGGUAAACGGCGGCCGUAACUAUAACGGUCCUAAGGUAGCGAAAUUCCUUGUCGGGUAAGUUCCGACCUGCACGAAUGGCGUAAUGAUGGCCAGGCUGUCUCCACCCGAGACUCAGUGAAAUUGAACUCGCUGUGAAGAUGCAGUGUACCCGCGGCAAGACGGAAAGACCCCGUGAACCUUUACUAUAGCUUGACACUGAACAUUGAGCCUUGAUGUGUAGGAUAGGUGGGAGGCUUUGAAGUGUGGACGCCAGUCUGCAUGGAGCCGACCUUGAAAUACCACCCUUUAAUGUUUGAUGUUCUAACGUGGGCCCCUUACCGGGGUUGCGGACAGUGUCUGGUGGGUAGUUUGACUGGGGCGGUCUCCUCCUAAAGAGUAACGGAGGAGCACGAAGGUUGGCUAAUCCUGGUCGGACAUCAGGAGGUUAGUGCAAUGGCAUAAGCCAGCUUGACUGCGAGCGUGACGGCGCGAGCAGGUGCGAAAGCAGGUCAUAGUGAUCCGGUGGUUCUGAAUGGAAGGGCCAUCGCUCAACGGAUAAAAGGUACUCCGGGGAUAACAGGCUGAUACCGCCCAAGAGUUCAUAUCGACGGCGGUGUUUGGCACCUCGAUGUCGGCUCAUCACAUCCUGGGGCUGAAGUAGGUCCCAAGGGUAUGGCUGUUCGCCAUUUAAAGUGGUACGCGAGCUGGGUUUAGAACGUCGUGAGACAGUUCGGUCCCUAUCUGCCGUGGGCGCUGGAGAACUGAGGGGGGCUGCUCCUAGUACGAGAGGACCGGAGUGGACGCAUCACUGGUGUUCGGGUUGUCAUGCCAAUGGCACUGCCCGGUAGCUAAAUGCGGAAGAGAUAAGUGCUGAAAGCAUCUAAGCACGAAACUUGCCCCGAGAUGAGUUCUCCCUGACUCCUUGAGAGUCCUGAAGGAACGUUGAAGACGACGACGUUGAUAGGCCGGGUGUGUAAGCGCAGCGAUGCGUUGAGCUAACCGGUACUAAUGAACCGUGAGGCUUAACCUUACAACGCCGAAG